UGCGGGGUCGUCUAACGGUCGGACUCAUCCCUCUGGAGGAUGGUAUCGGGGUUCGAAUCCCUGCCCCGCAGCCA
This 74-nucleotide transfer RNA is filed under the name Candidatus Woesebacteria bacterium RIFOXYC1_FULL_46_16. RNAcentral describes it as "tRNA-Gln". It matches the Rfam family "tRNA". Rfam says of the family: Transfer RNA (tRNA) molecules are approximately 80 nucleotides in length. Their secondary structure includes four short double-helical elements and three loops (D, anti-codon, and T loops). Further hydrogen bonds mediate the characteristic L-shaped molecular structure. tRNAs have two regions of fundamental functional importance: the anti-codon, which is responsible for specific mRNA codon recognition, and the 3' end, to which the tRNAs corresponding amino acid is attached (by aminoacyl-tRNA synthetases). tRNAs cope with the degeneracy of the genetic code in two manners: having more than one tRNA (with a specific anti-codon) for a particular amino acid; and 'wobble' base-pairing, i.e. permitting non-standard base-pairing at the 3rd anti-codon position. Lineage: Bacteria; Candidatus Woeseibacteriota. RNAcentral also lists the same sequence under 1 other name. The record is from RNAcentral.